Long non-coding RNA from Stylophora pistillata, 426 nucleotides. The record is from RefSeq and is a predicted model, not a curated record. Lineage: Eukaryota; Metazoa; Cnidaria; Anthozoa; Scleractinia; Pocilloporidae.
CUCGGUGGUUGGUACCAUUAUCAUGUUUGGUCUUGAUUACCGAAUAUUGAAACGACUUCUUUCUUUUUCGUAGGGGCCAGUAUCAUAGGUGGGAUUAUUUCCACGUUCUUGUCUGGAUACAUUGCUUAUCAUUUUGGUUGGAUCUUGGAUUUUCUACAUCUUCGGACGAACCAAUUCCAUGGAGAGCAAUCUUCACGUCUCUUCCAUUUGUAGCGUAUUCAAAGCAUUCAUUUGGCUAUUUCAUGCUGAUAUCAGAGCUUCCUUUAUUCUAUACACAAUGACUUCAUCUUGAUCUUAAACAGACCUGGAUUGCAUCGUCCAUACCUCAUAUGGUCACACUGGCGAUGUUAAAUCUCGGUGGUCAAAUAGCUGAUUAUCUUCGCAAGCAUCAUUUGAAAACAGGAACUGUGAGAAAGAUCUUCAAUA